This 467-nucleotide ribosomal RNA is filed under the name uncultured bacterium. Its description in RNAcentral is "partial 16S ribosomal RNA". It matches the Rfam family "Bacterial small subunit ribosomal RNA", at positions 28 to 507 of the family's 1533-position model. The record is from RNAcentral.
GAUGAACGCUGACAGAAUGCUUAACACAUGCAAGUCAACUUGAAUUUGGGUUUUUAACUUCGGUUUGGGUGGCGGACGGGUGAGUAACGCGUAAAGAACUUGCCUCACAGCUAGGGACAACAUUUGGAAACGAAUGCUAAUACCUAAUAUUAUGAUAAUAGGGCAUCCUAUAAUUAUGAAAGCUAUAAGCGCUGUGAGAGAGCUUUGCGUCCCAUUAGCUAGUUGGAGAGGUAACGGCUCACCAAGGCGAUGAUGGGUAGCCGGCCUGAGAGGGUGAUCGGCCACAAGGGGACUGAGACACGGCCCGUACUCCUACGGGAGGCAGCAGUGGGGAAUAUUGGACAAUGGACCAAGAGUCUGAUCCAGCAAUUCUGUGUGCACGAUGAAGUUUUUCGGAAUGUAAAGUGCUUUCAGUUGGGAAGAAAGAAAUGACGGUACCAACAGAAGAAGUGACGGCUAAAUACGUG